UACAGAGGGUGCAAGCGUUAAUCGGAAUCACUGGGCGUAAAGAGCGCGUAGGUGGUAAUUUAAGUUAGAUGUGAAAUCCCCGGGCUUAACCUGGGAAGGCCAUCUAAGACUGGGUUACUAGAGUACAGUAGAGGGAAGUGGAAUUUCCGGUGUAGCGGUGAAAUGCGUAGAUAUCGGAAGGAACACCAGUGGCGAAGGCGGCUUUCUGGACUGAUACUGACACUGAGGCGCGAAAGCGUGGGUAGCGAACAGG
Molecule: ribosomal RNA, 253 nt
Filed under: uncultured bacterium
Lineage: Bacteria
Description: partial 16S ribosomal RNA
Rfam family: Bacterial small subunit ribosomal RNA
Source: RNAcentral